RNAcentral lists this ribosomal RNA (497 nucleotides) under uncultured bacterium. Its description in RNAcentral is "bacterial SSU rRNA". It matches the Rfam family "Bacterial small subunit ribosomal RNA", at positions 29 to 519 of the family's 1533-position model. The record is from RNAcentral.
AUUGAACGCUGGCGGCGUGCUUAACACAUGCAAGUCGAUCGGUAACAGGUGUAGCAAUACAUGCUGACGAGAGGCGGACGGGUGAGUAAUGCUUGGGAAUCUGCCUAUUAGUGGGGGACAACCCGGGGAAACUCGGGCUAAUACCGCAUACGCUCUACGGAGGAAAGCCGGGGACCGCAAGGCCUGGCGCUAAUAGAUGAGCCCAAGUCGGAUUAGCUAGUUGGUAGGGAACGGCCUACCAAGGCGACAAUCCGUAGCUGGUCUGAGAGGACGACCAGCCACACCGGAACUGAGACACGGUCCGGACUCCUACGGGAGGCAGCAGUGGGGAAUAUUGGACAAUGGGGGCAACCCUGAUCCAGCGACGCCGCGUGGGUGAAGAAGGCCUGCGGGUUGUAAAGCCCUUUCGGUGGGGAAGAAAAGCUUGGUGUGAAUAGCGCCGAGUCUUGACGUUACCCAAAGAAGAAGCACCGGCUAACUCCGUGCCAGCAGCCGCU